GACGAACGCUGGCGGCGUGCUUAACACAUGCAAGUCGAACGGAAAGGCCCUGCUUUUGUGGGGUGCUCGAGUGGCGAACGGGUGAGUAACACGUGAGUAACCUGCCCUUGACUUUGGGAUAACUUCAGGAAACUGGGGCUAAUACCGGAUAGGAGCUCCUGCUGCAUGGUGGGGGUUGGAAGGUUUCGGCGGUUGGGGAUGGACUCGCGGCUUAUCAGCUUGUUGGUGGGGUAGUGGCUUACCAAGGCUUUGACGGGUAGCCGGCCUGAGAGGGUGACCGGCCACAUUGGGACUGAGAUACGGCCCAGACUCCUACGGGAGGCAGCAGUGGGGAAUAUUGCACAAUGGGCGGAAGCCUGAUGCAGCAACGCCGCGUGCGGGAUGGCGGCCUUCGGGUUGUAAACCGCUUUCGCCUGUGACGAAGCGUGAGUGACGGUAAUGGGUAAAGAAGCACCGGCUAACUACGUG
This 468-nucleotide ribosomal RNA is filed under the name uncultured bacterium. RNAcentral describes it as "partial 16S ribosomal RNA". It matches the Rfam family "Bacterial small subunit ribosomal RNA", at positions 28 to 507 of the family's 1533-position model. The record is from RNAcentral.